RNAcentral lists this ribosomal RNA (450 nucleotides) under uncultured bacterium. RNAcentral's name for it is "partial 16S ribosomal RNA". It matches the Rfam family "Bacterial small subunit ribosomal RNA", at positions 338 to 795 of the family's 1533-position model. The record is from RNAcentral.
CCUACGGGUGGCAGCAGUCGAGAAUCUUCGGCAAUGGGCGCAAGCCUGACCGAGCGACGCCGCGUGCGGGAUGAAGGCCCUCGGGUUGUAAACCGCUGUCGAGGGGGACGAAAUUUCAGUGGGUACUCCCAUUGAAUUGACCGAUCCCUGGAGGAAGGGUGGGCUAAGUUCGUGCCAGCAGCCGCGGUAAGACGAACCACCCAAAUUAUAUUCGGAAUUACUGGGCUUAAAGCGUGCGUAGGUGGCGUUGGAAAUCCCACAGCUCAACUGUGGAACUGCGCUUAAAACUACAAGGCUAGAGGAAUAUAGAGGUGAGCAGAACAGAUGGUGGAGCGGUGAAAUGCGUUGAUAUCAUCUGGAAUACCGGAGGCGAAGGCGGCUCACUGGGUAUUUUCUGACGCUGAGGUACGAAAGCUAGGGGAGCGAACGGGAUUAGAUACCCCUGUAGUC